AUUGAACGCUGGCGGCAUGCCUUACACAUGCAAGUCGAACGGCAGCACGGAGCUUGCUCUGGUGGCGAGUGGCGGACGGGUGAGUAAUAUAUCGGAACGUACCCUGGAGUGGGGGAUAACGUAGCGAAAGUUACGCUAAUACCGCAUACGAUCUAAGGAUGAAAGUGGGGGAUCGCAAGACCUCAUGCUCGUGGAGCGGCCGAUAUCUGAUUAGCUAGUUGGUAGGGUAAAAGCCUACCAAGGCAUCGAUCAGUAGCUGGUCUGAGAGGACGACCAGCCACACUGGAACUGAGACACGGUCCAGACUCCUACGGGAGGCAGCAGUGGGGAAUUUUGGACAAUGGGCGCAAGCCUGAUCCAGCAAUGCCGCGUGAGUGAAGAAGGCCUUCGGGUUGUAAAGCUCUUUUGUCAGGGAAGAAACGGUGGGAGCUAAUAUCUCCUGCUAAUGACGGUACCUGAAGAAUAAGCACCGGCUAACUACGUGCCAGCAGCCGCGGUAAUACGUAGGGUGCAAGCGUUAAUCGGAAUUACUGGGCGUAAAGCGUGCGCAGGCGGUUUUGUAAGUCUGAUGUGAAAUCCCCGGGCUCAACCUGGGAAUUGCAUUGGAGACUGCAAGGCUAGAAUCUGGCGGAGGGGGGUAGAAUUCCACGUGUAGCAGUGAAAUGCGUAGAUAUGUGGAGGAACACCGAUGGCGAAGGCAGCCCCCUGGGUCAAGAUUGACGCUCAUGCACGAAAGCGUGGGGAGCAAACAGGAUUAGAUACCCUGGUAGUCCACGCCCUAAACGAUGUCUACUAGUUGUCGGGUCUUAAUUGACUUGGUAACGCAGCUAACGCGUGAAGUAGACCGCCUGGGGAGUACGGUCGCAAGAUUAAAACUCAAAGGAAUUGACGGGGACCCGCACAAGCGGUGGAUGAUGUGGAUUAAUUCGAUGCAACGCGAAAAACCUUACCUACCCUUGACAUGGCUGGAAUCCUUGAGAGAUCAGGGAGUGCUCGAAAGAGAACCAGUACACAGGUGCUGCAUGGCUGUCGUCAGCUCGUGUCGUGAGAUGUUGGGUUAAGUCCCGCAACGAGCGCAACCCUUGUCAUUAGUUGCUACGAAAGGGCACUCUAAUGAGACUGCCGGUGACAAACCGGAGGAAGGUGGGGAUGACGUCAAGUCCUCAUGGCCCUUAUGGGUAGGGCUUCACACGUCAUACAAUGGUACAUACAGAGCGCCGCCAACCCGCGAGGGGGAGCUAAUCGCAGAAAGUGUAUCGUAGUCCGGAUUGUAGUCUGCAACUCGGCUGCAUGAAGUUGGAAUCGCUAGUAAUCGCGGAUCAGCAUGUCGCGGUGAAUACGUUCCCGGGUCU
Molecule: ribosomal RNA, 1352 nt
Filed under: uncultured bacterium
Lineage: Bacteria
Description: bacterial SSU rRNA
Rfam family: Bacterial small subunit ribosomal RNA
Source: RNAcentral